AACGAACGCUAGCGGCAUGCCUAACACAUGCAAGUCGAACGAGACCUUCGGGUCUAGUGGCGCACGGGUGCGUAACGCGUGGGAACCUGCCCUUAGGUUCGGAAUAACGCCUCGAAAGGGGUGCUAAUACCGGAUAAUGUCUUCGGACCAAAGAUUUAUCGCCUUUGGAUGGGCCCGCGUUGGAUUAGCUAGUUGGUGGGGUAAAGGCCUACCAAGGCGACGAUCCAUAGCUGGUCUUAGAGGAUGAUCAGCCACACUGGGACUGAGACACGGCCCAGACUCCUACGGGAGGCAGCAGUGGGGAAUAUUGGACAAUGGGCGAAAGCCUGAUCCAGCAAUGCCGCGUGAGUGAUGAAGGCCUUAGGGUUGUAAAGCUCUUUUACCCGGGAUGAUAAUGACAGUACCGGGAGAAUAAGCUCCGGCUAACUCCGUGCCAGCAGCCGCGGUAAUACGGAGGGAGCUAGCGUUGUUCGGAAAUACUGGGCGUAAAGCGCACGUAGGCGGCGCCGCAA
RNAcentral lists this ribosomal RNA (512 nucleotides) under uncultured bacterium. RNAcentral's name for it is "bacterial SSU rRNA". It matches the Rfam family "Bacterial small subunit ribosomal RNA", at positions 28 to 586 of the family's 1533-position model. The record is from RNAcentral.